This 368-nucleotide unclassified non-coding RNA is filed under the name uncultured Ascomycota. RNAcentral describes it as "partial contains 5.8S ribosomal RNA, internal transcribed spacer 2, and large subunit ribosomal RNA". The stretch from base 1 to 102 matches the Rfam family "5.8S ribosomal RNA", at positions 53 to 154 of the family's 154-position model. The record is from RNAcentral. Lineage: Eukaryota; Fungi; Ascomycota.
ACGCGAUAGGUGAUGUGAAUUGCAGAAUCCAGCGAACCAUUGAAUCUUUGAACGCACAUUGCGCCCUCCGGCAUUCCGGGGGGCACGCCUGUCCGAGCGUCGCCACGAACGUCGAGCCCUUGCUCGGUCUUGGGGCUUGCUCGUCCGCCUUCUCCGGAGGGCGGACGGCCCCGAAAAGCGUUGGCGGCGUCCUUCGAACCCACACAAAGGCGAAGGAGCCCUCGAGGUCGCGGGGAACCAUGACGACCGUUUGCAGAGGGCCCCGGCCGUUGACAGCGGGGAACGAAGGCGCCUGCCGGGCGUCCGUCCGAACCGAACCUUUAACAACGUUCGACCUCGGAUCAGGCGGGAAUACCCGCUGAACUUAA